RNAcentral lists this small nuclear RNA (152 nucleotides) under Neurospora tetrasperma FGSC 2509. RNAcentral describes it as "U4 spliceosomal RNA". The stretch from base 1 to 128 matches the Rfam family "U4 spliceosomal RNA". From Rfam's summary of the family: U4 small nuclear RNA (U4 snRNA) is a component of the major U2-dependent spliceosome. Lineage: Eukaryota; Fungi; Ascomycota; Sordariomycetes; Sordariales; Sordariaceae. The record is from Rfam by way of RNAcentral.
AUCCAAGUGCAGGGGUUUUACGCGUAUCAGUGAGGACUUUGUCCGAGAUUGCGUUUUUGCUAGUUGAAAACUACAUACCCGACCACUUCCAGUAUGGCUUCGGCUGGCUGGGGAAUUUUUGGAAACCGCACCUUUCAAAUUCUCGCUCUCGG